Molecule: unclassified non-coding RNA, 262 nt
Filed under: rhizosphere metagenome
Description: partial ribosomal RNA internal transcribed spacer region
Source: RNAcentral
GUAGGUGAACCUGCGGAAGGAUCAUUAAAGAUGUUUCAGAACGAGGUUGUCGCUGGCCUUCCGGGGCAUGUGCACGCCUUCUUCUUCGUCCAACUUUCACACCUUGUGCACCUUCGGUAGUUCUGUGAAGGCAGGGGGAGAGCCGCAAGGCUUUUUCCUUGUUGGAUCGGUCCUACGUUUUUACACACUCCAUAAAGUUCAGAAUGUAAUACCGCGUCUAACGCACAUAAUAUAACUUUCAACAACGGAUCUCUUGGCUCUC